AAAAAUACACAGAGCCCGAGGCAGCUAAAGAGAACAGUACAUUUACUUCUUUUGGCUUUUCAUUGAACCUUGAUGCAACCGUUUGAUAAAAAAUGUCGAGAAAUUAGGGCAUCGAAUUACUGUUGAGCAUCUUAACUAAAAUGCCGUCCAACAGGAAGUAUCGUCGAGAUCACAGUGAAGUUAGUUGUUGUUUAAAGUAUCUCAUUUUUGGAUUUAAUGUCAUCUUUUGGCUUACUGGACUUGGAAUUAUGGCUGUGGGCAUCUGGGCCUGGACGGAAAAAGAUACAUUCAGCAACCUUCAAAGACUUACGAAUGUUGCUUUAGAUCCAGCUUUCAUUCUCAUCGUAGCAGGAGCAGUCACUUUCAUUAUUGGAUUCACAGGCUGUGUGGGGGCACUCAGAGAAAACACUGUUCUUCUCUCUGCAUAUGCAAUCUUCCUUGCAAUUCUAUUGUUACUUGAAAUGACCGCAGGAAUCCUAGGUUUUAUAUUUAAAGAUUGGAUCAAACAACAAGCCACAGGAGGAUUUCAAGCAUUUAUUGUACAUUAUCGGGAUGACCCUGAUCAACAGAAUUUGAUUGAUUGGAUACAAGAAGGAUGGCUGCAAUGCUGUGGCAUUGAAGGACCCAAGGAUUGGGAUAGAAACAUUUAUUUCAACUGCUCAUCUGCCGAAGUAGGAAGCAGAGAAGCUUGUGGAGUUCCUUUCAGUUGUUGCAAACCUCAACCCAAUGAGAUUAUUAAAAACAAGCAGUGUGGAUACGACGUCAGGAAACCGGAUUAUCCAGGCGAUCGGAGUACGGUUGUAUACGAGCGGGGCUGUUUGAGGGCAGGGGAAGAAUGGGUCGAGUUUAACCUCAUUCCAGUCGCAGGAGCAGCAGUUGGUAUCGCCAUUUUACAGGUACAGUAGCGAACUCGUAAUCAUAACUUUAUCUAUAUGUUUAGCGACAGUCCAGCGAUUUGGGCGUGUAUUUGAUUAUAGAGGCUUUACUCUCUCCUCUUCGGUGACUGGGACGGGUGAUGGUUUUCGGAGGUUGUUGAAAUCUUACUAGGUGGUUGGUUGCUGGAUCGCUUUUCUCCAUUCCCUCAGUGAUAUACAUAAUAUCAUCAGUAUAUUGUAUUACUCAAAACAUUCUCUCUCUGUAUCCGUCCCUCCACUCGUCCUCAUUAGAACUAUGACGUGGCGAAAAUCAUCAACGAUAAAGGCUGCUUACCUGCAGGAGAAGAAUGGCUU
RNAcentral lists this unclassified non-coding RNA (1229 nucleotides) under Daphnia pulex (common water flea). Its description in RNAcentral is "tetraspanin-5-like, transcript variant X2". Lineage: Eukaryota; Metazoa; Arthropoda; Branchiopoda; Diplostraca; Daphniidae. The record is from RNAcentral.